AAAAAAAAAAAGUCUGGCUCAUUGGCCUUCUUAGCCGCAAGGGCGCAUGUGGCUCAUGGCUAACCUGUUGUCCACCAGGACACCCAGGUCCUUCUCUGCAGAGCUUAGUUCCAGCAGAUCAGCCCCUAAUCUGUACUGAUGCAUACAUUUAUUCUUCCCCAGGUGCAGAGCUCAGCACUUGCUCUUAUUAAACCUCAUAAUGUUCCUUCCUGCCCAACUCUCCAGCCUGUCCAGGUCUUGCUGAAUGGUAGCACAACCUUCUGGCGUGUCAGCCAUUCCUCUCAGCUUUUUAUCACCAGCAAACUUACUGAAGCUGGACUCUGUCCCUUCAUCCAGGGCACUGACGAAGAUGUUGAACAAGGCCAGACCCAGCACCAACCCCUAGAAAACACUGCUAAUUACAGGUCUCCAACCAGCCUCUGCAUUGCUGAUGACAACCCUUUGAGUUCUGCCACUCAGCCAGGUUUCAAUCCACCUCACUCAUCUGUCCCACACUUCUUAAGUUUCAUAACAAGGAUGUUGUGGGAGAAGGUGUCAAAUGCCUUGCUAAAGUCAAGGUACACUACAUCCACUGCUCUCCCCACCAGUGAUGACAUCAUAGUGAUGAUCUACCCAGCCAGUGAUGACAUCAUAGAAGGCUAUCAUAUUGGUCAAGCAUGAUUUCUCCUUGGUGAAUCCAUAUUUCUGUCCCUGAUAACCAUCGUUUCUUCCAGUUGCUUGGGGAUGGCAUCUAGAACAAGUUGUUCCAUCACUUUUCCAGUGACUGCCUCUGCACAGUCAGAAUUGAAGGAGAAUGGACUUCACCUUGACAAAGGCAGCUUGAAUCUACUGAUGCUGUGAAAGCUUCUAUUGCUAUGGUGAUACUACCUCAUAAAUGAACAUACCUGGAUGUUGCGUGUCGCAAACCCCAAACACAAGGAUCAGAUCCUCUGUUGAGAUAACUCCAUAAACUGCAGACAUCUUCUGGCUUCAUCGCCAUUACCACCAUUUAAUCCAGAAAAUCAGUGCCACAAUUAUUUUAAUUAGA
Non-coding RNA from Meleagris gallopavo (turkey), 1027 nucleotides. NCBI's taxonomy places the organism in Eukaryota, Metazoa, Chordata, Aves, Galliformes, Phasianidae. The record is from RefSeq and is a predicted model, not a curated record.